RNAcentral lists this ribosomal RNA (496 nucleotides) under uncultured bacterium. RNAcentral's name for it is "partial 16S ribosomal RNA". It matches the Rfam family "Bacterial small subunit ribosomal RNA", at positions 29 to 507 of the family's 1533-position model. The record is from RNAcentral.
AUGCACGCUGGCGGCGUGCCUAAUACAUGCAAGUCGAGCGAGCGGACGAGAAGCUUGCUUCUCUGAUGUUAGCGGCGGACGGGUGAGUAACACGUGGAUAACCUACCUAUAAGACUGGGAUAACUUCGGGAAACCGUAGCUAAUACCGGAUAAUAUUUUGAACCGCAUGGUUCAAAAGUGAAAGACGGUCUUGCUGUCACUUAUAGAUGGAUCCGCGCUGCAUUAGCUAGUUGGUAAGGUAACGGCUUACCAAGGCAACGAUGCAUAGCCGACCUGAGAGGGUGAUCGGCCACACUGGAACUGAGACACGGUCCAGACUCCUACGGGAGGCAGCAGUAGGGAAUCUUCCGCAAUGGGCGAAAGCCUGACGGAGCAACGCCGCGUGAGUGAUGAAGGUCUUCGGAUCGUAAAACUCUGUUAUUAGGGAAGAACAUAUGUGUAAGUAACUGUGCACAUCUUGACGGUACCUAAUCAGAAAGCCACGGCUAACUACGUG